GAUGACGAACGUAGCGAAAUGCGAUACGUAAUGUGAAUUGCAGAUUUCAGUGAAUCAUCGAAUCUUUGAACGCACAUUGCGCCCGCCAGUAUUCUGGCGGGCAUGCCUGUUCGAGCGUCAUUUCAACCAUCAAGCGCCUCGCUUGUGUUGGGGCCCUGCGGCUGCCGCAGGCCCCUAAAUCCAGUGGCGGGCUCGUCGUCGUACCGAGUGCAGUAAACAUCCUCGCUCAGGGAACCCGACGGGUGCCGGCCGUGAAACCCCCCCUCCUCAAGGUUGACCUCGGAUCAGGUAGGAAUACCCGCUGAACUUAAGCAUAUCAAUAAGCGAGGA
Molecule: unclassified non-coding RNA, 330 nt
Filed under: soil metagenome
Description: partial contains 5.8S ribosomal RNA, internal transcribed spacer 2, and large subunit ribosomal RNA
Rfam family: 5.8S ribosomal RNA (bases 1-120)
Source: RNAcentral